GGACUACACGGGUAUCUAAUCCUGUUUGCUCCCCACGCUUUCGCAUCUCAGCGUCAGUUGUCUUCCAGAUGGCCGCCUUCGCCACAGGUGUUCCUCCCGAUAUCUACGAAUUUCACCUCUACACCGGGAAUUCCGCCAUCCCCUCCGACACUCAAGCCUAGAAGUAUCAGAUGCAGUUCCUGAGUUAAGCCCAGGGAUUUCACAUCUGACUUUCCAGACCGCCUACAUGCGCUUUACGCCCAGUAAUUCCGAACAACGCUUGCACCCUCUGUAUUACCGCGGCUGCUGGCAC
This 292-nucleotide ribosomal RNA is filed under the name uncultured bacterium. Its description in RNAcentral is "partial 16S ribosomal RNA". The record is from RNAcentral.